RNAcentral lists this ribosomal RNA (484 nucleotides) under uncultured bacterium. Its description in RNAcentral is "partial 16S ribosomal RNA". It matches the Rfam family "Bacterial small subunit ribosomal RNA", at positions 30 to 507 of the family's 1533-position model. The record is from RNAcentral.
AUUGAACGCUGGCGGCAUGCCUUACACAUGCAAGUCGAACGGCAGCGCGGACUUCGGUCUGGCGGCGAGUGGCGAACGGGUGAGUAAUACAUCGGAACGUACCCUGUUGUGGGGGAUAACUAGUCGAAAGAUUAGCUAAUACCGCAUACGACCUGAGGGUGAAAGUGGGGGAUCGCAAGGCCUCACGCAGCAGGAGCGGCCGAUGUCUGAUUGGCUAGUUGGUGGGGUAAAGGCCCACCAAGGCGACGAUCAGUAGCUGGUCUGAGAGGACGAUCAGCCACACUGGGACUGAGACACGGCCCAGACUCCUACGGGGGGCAGCAGUGGGGAAUUUUGGACAAUGGGGGCAACCCUGAUCCAGCAAUGCCGCGUGUGUGAAGAAGGCCUUCGGGUUGUAAAGCACUUUUGUCCGGAAAGAAAUCGCGCUGGUUAAUACCUGGCGUGGAUGACGGUACCGGAAGAAUAAGCACCGGCUAACUACGUG